GGAGAGAUGGCCGAGUGGUCGAAGGUGCACGACUGGAAAUCGUGUGUAGGGUAACCCCCUACCGUGGGUUCGAAUCCCACUCUCUCCGCCA
This 91-nucleotide transfer RNA is filed under the name Gemmatimonadota bacterium. RNAcentral describes it as "tRNA-Ser". It matches the Rfam family "tRNA". From Rfam's summary of the family: Transfer RNA (tRNA) molecules are approximately 80 nucleotides in length. Lineage: Bacteria; Pseudomonadati; Gemmatimonadota. RNAcentral also lists the same sequence under 1 other name. The record is from RNAcentral.